GCCAAAUGAAGAUGUAGAUGGCUGGUGACCU
This 31-nucleotide non-coding RNA is filed under the name Mus musculus (house mouse). The record is from RNAcentral. Lineage: Eukaryota; Metazoa; Chordata; Mammalia; Rodentia; Muridae.